Molecule: long non-coding RNA, 214 nt
Filed under: Ricinus communis (castor bean)
Lineage: Eukaryota; Viridiplantae; Streptophyta; Magnoliopsida; Malpighiales; Euphorbiaceae
Description: long non-coding RNA (RCOM_LNC003158)
Source: RNAcentral
UCUCAACUAACCUCAACUCUAUCAUCUCAAACCUCUCAUUCCAACAGGACUGGCGCCCAGAGAGCAAAGCUCGACCAGGGACCUUACCUCCAGUCCGGUCACUUAACUCUCAGCCUUAGCCUUUCGGCUCUCUUAUCCAAUAAGACUAGCGCCCAGAGAGCAUAGCUCGACCAGGGACCUUACCUCCAGUCUGGUCACUUAAAUUUCCAAAUAA